UGACUGUCAGGCCACCUUAAGCCACAGUACGGAAGAAGCUGUGCUGCCUGUGAGCCCCGUCCAAGGACGUUAAAAGAAGAAGUCAGGCCCCAAAGCCACGGUUUGAGCAAACCGUGCUGCCUGUAGCUCCGUCAUGGGGACGUAAAACCUGGGAGGCUGCAAACUGUGGAAGCUGUACGCACAGUGUAGCAGACUAGUGGUUAGAGGAGACCCCUCCCAUGACACAACGCAGCAGCGGGGCCCGAGCACUGAGGGAAGCUGUACCUCCUUGCAAAGGACUAGAGGUUAGAGGAGACCCCCCGCAAACAAAAACAGCAUAUUGACGCUGGGAGAG
This 334-nucleotide long non-coding RNA is filed under the name dengue virus type 3. RNAcentral describes it as "Dengue virus type 3 partial sfRNA1". The stretch from base 152 to 223 matches the Rfam family "Flavivirus DB element". Lineage: Riboviria; Orthornavirae; Kitrinoviricota; Flasuviricetes; Amarillovirales; Flaviviridae. The record is from RNAcentral.